GGUCAGGGUCCGAGUCCGAGUCCGAGUCCGACUGGUCCGAACACCACGCUUUCCUGUUCGACCCUUUUUUGGAUGAAUGGUCUAUAAAAAAUGAGGAAGAAUUGGAGAAAUAUUAUGAUGUGGUAUUUAAUUUGGAGAAAACAAGAGGCCGUUUUUUUAACUGUCUUGAAGACUUGAAGACUGGUGGCGUUUUCUACAGAUCUGUUAAGAACAGGGUGAAUACUGCUGUUAUUCACUAUAACAAGAAAAAUCAAACUGGCUUUAGAGCAGGCAAGAUUUUGAAUUGCGUUCUCAAUGCAGCUGGGGGUGCUAAGCUUUAUUUGACCUUUGUGGCCAAGGAUUUCAAUACUGGUGAUGUGCGGGAAUUCCAAGCGUGUGUGUAUGAAUCUGCUGCUGGGGUGAUAGGAGAGUCAACCUUUGCAGGCUUAAAAUUCCUAAGGAACCAUGCGAGGGUGAUGGCAAAUGCAUUUGAAGGAGGAGGAAUUUCAUGAUUGACUUGGGAAUUGAGUGGAUGCCACUGUGUGUGGAGAUUUGAAUCUUUGCUGAAAUCACUUGGGAAUAUUGUCUUAGAUGCUGAAAUUACUUUGUUGCUGGCUGCUGAUUUGGUUUUUGUUGGUGUGGUCGUUGACUCAAAACACUUUGUUGAUGAUUUGGUCUUUUUGUUUUAUGUCUGCGUUUGAGUUUGUUGGGAUGGUCGUCUACCAUGUGGUUGCUGAGUUUUAUUUGUAUUAAAUGAGAUUGUUAAUUGUGUAAUUAAAGAAGGUAUGGAAGCUUACUAUCUGGGAA
Non-coding RNA from Coffea arabica (coffee), 786 nucleotides. NCBI's taxonomy places the organism in Eukaryota, Viridiplantae, Streptophyta, Magnoliopsida, Gentianales, Rubiaceae. The record is from RefSeq and is a predicted model, not a curated record.